This 468-nucleotide ribosomal RNA is filed under the name uncultured bacterium. RNAcentral describes it as "partial 16S ribosomal RNA". It matches the Rfam family "Bacterial small subunit ribosomal RNA", at positions 28 to 507 of the family's 1533-position model. The record is from RNAcentral.
GACGAACGCUGGCGGCGUGCUUAACACAUGCAAGUCGAACGGAAAGGCCCUGCUUUUGUGGGGUGCUCGAGUGGCGAACGGGUGAGUAACACGUGAGUAACCUGCCCUUGACUUUGGUAUAACUUCAGGAAACUGGGGCUAAUACCGGAUAGGAUCUCCUGCUGCAUGGUGGGGGUUGGAAAGUUUCGGCGGUUGGGGAUGGACUCGCGGCUUAUCAGCUUGUUGGUGGGGUAGUGGCUUACCAAGGCUUUGACGGGUAGCCGGCCUGAGAGGGUGACCGGCCACAUUGGGACUGAGAUACGGCCCAGACUCCUACGGGAGGCAGCAGUGGGGAAUAUUGCACAAUGGGCGGAAGCCUGAUGCAGCAACGCCGCGUGCGGGAUGACGGCCUUCGGGUUGUAAACCGCUUUAGCCUGUGACGAAGCGUGAGUGACGGUAAUGGGUAAAGAAGCACCGGCUAACUACGUG